Molecule: ribosomal RNA, 416 nt
Filed under: Acanthamoeba sp.
Lineage: Eukaryota; Discosea; Longamoebia; Acanthamoebidae
Also listed under: 1 other name
Description: SSU rRNA
Rfam family: Eukaryotic small subunit ribosomal RNA (bases 1-371)
Source: RNAcentral
AAAAUUAGAGUGUUCAAAGCAGGCAGAUCCAAUUUUCUGCCACCGAAUACAUUAGCAUGGGAUAAUGGAAUAGGACCCUGUCCUCCUAUUUUCAGUUGGUUUUGGCAGCGCGAGGACUAGGGUAAUGAUUAAUAGGGAUAGUUGGGGGCAUUAAUAUUUAAUUGUCAGAGGUGAAAUUCUUGGAUUUAUGAAAGAUUAACUUCUGCGAAAGCAUCUGCCAAGGAUGUUUUCAUUAAUCAAGAACGAAAGUUAGGGGAUCGAAGACGAUCAGAUACCGUCGUAGUCUUAACCAUAAACGAUGCCGACCAGCGAUUAGGAGACGUUGAAUACAAAACACCACCAUCGGCGCGGUCGUCCUUGGCGUCGGUCCUUCACGGGGCCGGCGCGAGGGCGGCUUAGCCCGGUGGCACCGGUGA